RNAcentral lists this ribosomal RNA (429 nucleotides) under Triticum aestivum (bread wheat). RNAcentral describes it as "partial small subunit ribosomal RNA". Lineage: Eukaryota; Viridiplantae; Streptophyta; Magnoliopsida; Poales; Poaceae. The record is from RNAcentral.
AUGCGUAUGAAUAUGCCGCAAGGUCUCACGCCUGCUCCUGCAUCCAUGACGAUCCCGAUGUCGCAUUCCUCAAGGCCGACGCUCGGGUUCCCCCUCGGCACGGCGCUCCUGCUCCUCGUCAUCUUCUCCCUCAGCGGCAUCUUCUCCUGCUGCUACCACUGGGACAGGCUCCGCUCCCUCCUCUGGUCUCGGCAUCCCGGCAUGCUCCAGGACGGCCCGCACACCGUCAUCUCCGUCGGACCAACGCCGAGCAAGGCAUCUUCUGAGCACAAGAGCGAGAAAGCUGGAAAAGAGUGCGGGUUGCCCGUGAUCAUGCCCGGGGAUAACAUCGCGAAGUUCUACGCGAGGCCCUGCCCGCACGAGGCGUGUUUAUCUGCAGCAGCAGAGAAGGGCGAAGUCGAGGUGCAAGUCAGAUGUUCAGUUUCGUGA